Gallus gallus (chicken) is the source of this 11122-nucleotide long non-coding RNA. The record is from Ensembl. Lineage: Eukaryota; Metazoa; Chordata; Aves; Galliformes; Phasianidae.
CCGAGUAGUUCUUCACCAGUCUUUUCCAUGUCAAGAUCAGCACUGAGUAUGAAAGUAUUGAUUUUCAAAAUGCAUAUCAAAUUUACACAUUUGCCACUAGCCAGUUUAUCACCACCUGCUAUCUUGUAUUCAAUUCUGUUACACAAGAGUGUAAAUUAAUGCGGAGUGCAAUCCUCGUAAUUAUUAUAGUUGGGGAGCAAAUGGGGCUGUGCAUAUGCAAGUAUCUAAUUAGCCACGUAAUGGUCGCAUACACGUGAAAAUACCCUGUUCAACUAUGAAAUCGUACCGACUGCUUCAGCUUAUACAACGGUGUGUAUAGUUGCCUUCCUUGCAUAAGGAGAAUUAGGCCUUCUGUUUUUAAUAAUACUGCACCAUUCUGUUCAAUUCUGAGCCCUUAAUCUUGCAUCACAGUAGAACACUCCGGUAGCAACAAAUAAUUGUGUGUUUUUCACACUUUCCAUUUUGUAAAAUGCUACUUCCUGACCUCUGUGAAAUGCAUACAGUGGGCUACUUUGAUGUAUAAUUAGAUUAAUCUUAACUAAAAAGUAUCCUGGUGUAGCUGUGACAGUAAAAAGAAUAAGAUUUUACCUACUCAGGAAUUUUAAUUUUCAGUUGUCUUUUCUCAUGAGAGCUCUGUUGUCUUAGUAUGUCACACAUAGUUUCACCACUUCUGUUUGUUUUAGACUGAGACAACUUGGCCUUAUUAGCUUCUUCUAUCCCCUUCAGUUUUGGUGGGGUCUCAAGUGCCUCCUUAGUUCUAUUGCAAAAGGAAGUCCUCAUAAACCACAUAAAGCCCUAAAAAAGCUGAGGGCAAAAUUGAAUGGAUCUUUGCUCUCAUUGGCUGCAUCUUCCCCUCAUGCAGUGCUGCCACGGGUGUCUAAAGCUCUGCAAAGGGAAAGAGAAUUGCAGGCUGCUGGCUCUCCAUGUCAGAGAGCAUGCAUUCACUCCCAGUACCUUUUCUGGAUCUGCCAAAUGUAUUGCUGGGAUUUCUAGGAUACAACAUCAUCAUUUCAGCACUUCUGUAAUUUACAGACAAAGAACUACGAAAUAGGAACAUAGCUAGGAGGAUUGGGCAUAGUAUGAAGUCAUGCUGUCUAAGGCUGGCCAGAUACUUGCCUUUCCACUCAACUUGUAGAGGCAAAUUUGCUCAUUUCUGAACGUUCUCUACUUCUUUUAGAUGAGCAUCAGCAAGACUGAUAAAAAAAUAGUUGGUGUGUUUUUACUUGGAACUUCUCUCCAAAAAAUGAGAAUUUACUUUGCUUAUAUAGAGUAAUUAAGAAUACUCAUACUCAAUAAUUAAUUUGGGGGUUAAUUUUACCUCUCCCCCCUCUCCCAAUGCAGGCAUCUGCAUACUUCUGUACAUGCACAUAUGCAUACUCCAUUAAAAUUACAUCAGCAUAAGUAUGAAUAUCAUGAACCAAAAGUUUGGCAUCCCUACUAUAGUGACAGCUGACUGCCACCUAUGGGCAGGAGUUCAUGUUAACAUAUUUAGCUAGAAUUUUAAUAUUAUUCUUUGCAAUUAAUUCAAUUUGUAAUUGUUCUAGUAGGACAGAGCUUCAAUUCAUUUGCUAUAUAUUUGUCCACGGCAAUCACUUCUCCCUCUGAAAACUGAAUAUUAAAACCAGCUUCUUUAUGAAGGGGAAUCAGCUUUGCGACGAUUAAAAAAAAUGGGGUAGGACGUUCUUAUUUCUGUUAUCUGAAUAAGGAAUAAAUAGAAGCACCCUACUUCUCCAAGCAAAGAAAAAUGACUCAGUGGUACACAGACAGGCACAUCAACAAGAUAAUGCUGUAUUUAAUGAUUACUGUAAUUUUAAAGUUUAGCCAUCUCAAGGUUGUAAUAUUUUGUUGACGGCCUUCUUUUACUAAAUACAUACAAAUAGGCUGGUUAUGCAGUCCCGUGAAAAUGUGUAUAUAAUUAGUAUGUCAUAGUAAUUCUCUAUUCAAAAAUUUUCAUUUUUCCGAGGAAAAUGAUGGCUAAAGUGGGGGAAGAGAAAGAAGAGCAGAAAAAUGUAUGGCUUGAUUAUGUAAGCCUUGAUUUUUCUGAUAAUCAGUGCUCAUUUACGAAAGAAAAAAAGCAAGUGCAGACUGAAAUGUCAAAUUCAUUGUAUUAAAAAUCGUGUUUCUAAUUCAGCUUCCAGGUACUUAAAAGCAAAUAGGCUGACAAUUCUGUCUAUUUGAUUACAAAUAACAAAAAUGCUCGACUACAGCUACUACAUCGUAGUAUGCUGCAGUAUAUCGUGCAGCCCUCAUCAUUUCUCAGAAAUAACAUACGUAAACAUAGCUGGAACAGUUUAGCGAAUUAAUACAUACAUUUUCGUUUGGGAAAAAAGAUCAUUUUACUUCAGUCAGCAGAAGGUAUUUGUAACCAUAACAUGCUUCCCUUUUUGGGGAAGGAGCGCAGAAUUUUUGAGGGAACAGAGACAGAAAUGAACUUUAAAAGGGGAAAAUAUGUUAAAAGAGACAGAAACUUACAGGAACUAAGAAUGAGUUUGAUAUGAUGAAUUUUUCAAGAUCCCCCUUUUAAAGUAAUUUUAUUUCUGGGCCUCCUCAUUUGUGUUCCACUCUGUUAAAUAUUUUUUUUGAGAUAGUCUGGUAAUUGUAAGUAUUACAUUUGUGCUCAUCUCAUGCGUUUUCACUAAGUUUUAUUUCUAAAGUUACGUCGUAAACUUGGGAAAUACUGUACAAGCAGCAUACACCAUUUUGGUAUCAGACGUUAUCACGUCGGCAUUUCAUGCUUACCCUCCAACAGCAUAAGCACCCUUUAUCAUCUAUGGAAUUCUGACAUUUAUGGUAAAAUAUUUGUACUCAGUACACAAAGGGAUUUUGAAACUUAAGUAACUGUGUUACACAGCAAUUUAAUUCCAAUACAUUUUGCUUCUUACUACUGAAUUAAGAUUGCAAAAACAGUCUGACUUUCUUGUGUCCGACCGGUAACAUUCCCUUGCAUUUUCAAACCACGGUUUAAACCGAACCCACUCAGACUCUUUGGAUAGAAACUUCAUAUCAGACAAAAAUUACUCUUUAGCACGUUUGAUGAAUCCAGCUUAAAACCAAACACAGAACUGCAUGAACAUCUGCGACAAACGACUCGCCUCGGCCAUUCUCUUCUUUCUUAUUUAAUCUCCCACUGGAGUACAGUUUAGUUGGUUUGCUAUUUUAUAGUGCAGAUCUCUCCCUCACCAACCUACUGCUUGCAAAAAAGAACUUUAAAAAUUUCCAUGUGUGAGAACAAAACCUGAGCAGAAUAGGGCUGCACCUUUUAAAAUGGGUACUAGCAGGGGAAGGGAAAGCAACGAACAAGCUAGCACUCCAAAUUUCCAGGAGUAACAAAAAGGGGGAAAAAAAUAUAGGAAAAAUGAAACUGAGGACUGUUAAACUAAUAGAUCAGUUACUAGAAUAUGAAACAGAACCGUCCUUUCCUGGUGAUGCUUCACUGACUUGCUGCUUGCAUACCCACACGAGUAUAAACUGAGAGCAAAAUUUUUCUUAAUGUAGGCAGUAUUACGAAUGUUGAGAUAUUCCUGUUUCAGUAUCUUUAAAUCUGAGGCCUUGUUAAAGAAGACGCUACUUGGAAAGAUCUCUGAGAUACCGGCAAACCCUGCUUGGUUUCUCCUGAUUUUCUUCCACAAAUGAUCUGUUUGAUAGACGGGGGAAAAAUAAAAGAGCAAAUAGCAGGCAAAGCACCUUUAAAGUGCUUGUUGUUACUUUUGUGCCUUUUACAAAAAGACGAGGAAAAUUCCACUUCCCAAGUAAAGAAAUACAGAGCAGUGUAACAUCAUAGCUUUAGAAACUAUUCUUUCUGUUUUUCACACAUCACCUCAAUUUCACCCGAAUGCUGCUUAUACUGCGUAACACAGAUUUUACUUUACAUAAUAUCGCUUAGUGCCUAUAUGGAUUAUUUGUUACCUAAUAACUGUUAGAUUGGUCGUGAAUUUUUACUGUGCUAGGUGUUUUUCAGAACAUAGUUACAUGUCUGCAUUUUUUUGGACAAACUUUCAAAAUAUUACUGUAUUCUGGUCUAUUUCACCAUGAUUUAACACUGCAGGAGUGCAUCCAGAUAUUCAUAACACAAUACGCUUGUAGGCACAACUAAACAAAAAGCAGAUUAGCUUGUGAUGUAGUGGAAUGAGUGGGACUUUCUUCUAAUGGAGAAAAACCUGUUUGCUCAUAAUAAUUCCAUUUAUAGCUGAGAAAGGGAGCAAAGCACCUGGAACUGAGUCAGUGUGAAUUCCAGCAAUGCAAUGAGCUUCACAAAAGCUGUGGUUACCUUGUUUUUUAACUAACCACACUGAGCUGACAGCUAUUAACAGUAGCAAGGACUUGCAUAACGAGGACUUGAAGGAAAGCUUAGCACUAUCCAUGCCAGAGCGAUUUAAAGAGAAUGAAGGCACGUAUUUCUUUAUGAUGCAUUAUGUAACAACAUAGAGGGCAAUCUGAGACAUUUAAAAAGAUACGGGGACCCACAUAUAAUUUUACACUUGUUAUUUUAGAGUGCUUAUAACCCAAUGCUUAUGAAACACCUAACUUAGGAAUGUGAUCCUGUAAAAUGAGUUUAAAAUGUUUUUGAAGACGUGUUUUACGUUUUGUACGUGCUUAGAAAAGCAUAGUAGGUCCUACAAUUCAUUUUCUUCAAAAUUCUGCAAUGUAUGCAAUCUCAGAUAAAAUUGUCAAAAUCUAGGAUAGCUGGACCUUCUGGUUCACAUUAGUGUGAAGAGAAAACUGCUGUUGAGCUGACACGUUGAUAGAUUAUGAGUUCUGCUGAAGAAUAGCUAAAAAUGGUGAUUCAAUCUUGUCGCUACUAUAUAAAAAAAAUAACAGAAGUGGAGAUGUUACUCAUGAUAUCGUGUCUUUCAUCAAAACCCUAAAGGGUUCUGGUGCAUUGAACACGUUUUCCUUCUGAGAGCUUUUGGCUGUAUAAAAUAUCGGUGUAAGUAAAUGAAACUAAAUUGGCCUAUUUAAAAAACAAAUAGGAUGAGCUUUUGUGCCCUAAGUUUAUUUAAACAAGAAAAUAAAGAUUGGAAUAUAAAAAGACUGCCUUUUAAGGUGGUAGGUUCUUUUCCUUUUCAGUUUUUACAAUAGAGAUUCUGGUCUUGUAACGAUGAAAUGGAGAGCUGCAGGAUUAUGAAACAACUAAACACGAAGGGCAAAUCUGACUGGAAGAGACAGAGAUAUUAUUGCAAUUAUCUGAAACUUAGCUGGGUUAGUUCCUUCACUAACCUAAAUCAAUGCAGUUCCUCUGAAAUCAAUAGGGUGAUACAGAUUCAUCCAAAACAUACCUGGCAUGUAAGAUAAUGCGUCACCUUCUGUUAGGACACGUAAACAUAAACACAUGUGGAGAGGACUCUUUUCUAUAUAUCUCCUUAACCUUUAAAUACUCGAAACCGUACUUUUAGGAGAGGCAUUUAUGUACUUCUGCUAUUUUACUCCUAUAUCUCUGUUGGUAUGAAUCUCGUGUGGUCAUUUACACUAAAAUAAAGUCAGGUCCAAACGCUGACUUCAGUCCUCAGUGCUCCGUACUUAUCUGUGCUGCUGCAAAUCACCAGGAAGGGCUCAAGAUGGCAGGGAGCCGGGGCCUUGCUGGCUGCUGUCUUCCUCCCGUGAAAAUCACCGAGCGCUCCCACUGCUCAUUUCUGAAUCACCCAAGGCGUCCUGCAACAACAGAAGGGAACCAAGACUUCACAAUCCUCAUCCUCACCGAUGGGAGAGCAGAUCUUGUCACGUGACUCUGAAGUAGAGCAAGGGUUGCAGCAGACUUCAACUUUCAGUCCUACAUUGCUUGUUCAAGAAAGGUCUAGAGAAGAAAGUCCUAAAUAGCAUGGUGAAUUAAAAAAAAAAAAAAAAAAAAGAUAAUUGCAGGAGUAUCAUCACAGAAUGGCCUGGGUUGAAAAGGACCACAAAGAUCAUCCAGUUUCAACCCCCUGCUAUGUGCAGGGUCGCCAACCACCAGACCAGGCUGCCCAGAGCCACAUCCAGCCUGGCCUUGAAUGUCUCCAGGAAUGGGGCAUCCACAACCUCCUUGGGCAACCUGUUCCAGUGUGUCACCGCUCUUUGUGUGGAAAAACUUCUUCCUAAUAUCCAACCUAAACCUCCCCUGUCUCAGUUUAAAACCAUUCCCCCUUAUCCUAUCACUGUCCACCCUUGUAAACAGCCGCUCCCCUUCCUGUUUUUACUCUCCCUUCAAGUACUGGAAGGCCACAGUGAGGUCUCCCCAGAGCCUUCUCUUCUCCAAACUAAACAAGCCCAGUUCCCUUAACAUUUCCUCAUAGGAGAGGUGCUCCAGCCCUCUGAUCAUCUUAGUGGCCCUCCUCUGGGCCCGCUCCAAGAGUAGUAAGUCAAUAGCUGAAAAGUGAUGUGAAAAAGAAGGCAGCUAGAAGAAAUAAAGGAUUUCUUAAAACCACUCCCACCCAGCAAUGCUGUUUCUUGUAUCUUUAGUUUCAUCUGCUUCUCGAAGUCUAUCUUGCCAAAUAUGCCUACCUUUCAAAAUUACUCCAGCUUCGGAAUGAAAGUGUCAGCAGUUGCAAGACUCUUGAGGGUAUGAUUAUCUUAUUUCCUGUCUGUCUAUUACAUUUAAACAUCUGCCAAACUGGAAAGGUCAUUUUUCUACUAUGACUCUGGAGUACACUUAAUGAGACUCUUGUUACUGACUGACCUCUUGUACCUGGAGAGAUUAAACAUCUUGGACAAGUUUUCAUUGCUUGAAUCUGUGCCAAAUCCUUUUAAUGCGUGAAGGACUCGAUCACUUUUAAACCAGUGGUAUAGAGCAAACAAGCUUCGGUCUGAUGCCAGGGGGCUGCUUGAUUUUUGCAGUAACAAAACAGAAACUUAUAAGCACCUUGGGUACAGCAAAAGAAAAUAUAUCUGUGCUGAUCUUUGUCAACAGUCUCAUCAGAUUGCUAGGAACGUCCCUCCUACCAGGCUACUUUGCAGCUGUGAAUGAAAGCUCAUUAUCCGUGGCCAGUGCUUACCAUAAGAAGCAUAACCUUAGCUUUCAAAAUAAGGGACUUUUAAAGUAUUUAUGUUGUUAAAAUUGAAGUAAAUCAGAUCAUGUUGCUGUGUUGCUUUUAGCAACUUGCACCUACUCUACUUCCAUCGUACUUAGUGAGAUUUUUCAGCUACAUUUAAAGACUAAGUCUAGAAUGGAGCUCUGUUUAUGAAACACUGGCUAUUAAUGUUUCACAGCAUUUGGCAAUGCUGGUUUUUCUGAUUAUAUUCAACCUUGCUGAACAGGAAUGUUUGCAUCAUUUAAGAGCAAUUUUUUUUUUUUUUUUUGCACUGCCUGUAUUUUGUAUCUUCUCAAACAAAGAGAUGAUGACAGAUGAUGCCUCAAAGAUAAGUAACAUUCUACUAUAUGACCUCUGCCUACAAAAAGCACAGCUUCCCUGGAGAAGACGAUCCCUAUGCCUGAGACAACACUGCUUGUGAAUUCCUAUGCUGAGUGAAUUUCAAAGUUCUAGUUUCCCUACUUUGGGCAGCCACAUCACUCUUCUGUUUUCCUGCAGGAAACAUUGGACUGAGAUUCAUAGCCUUGUUCAUGCUUCCCCAUAUCUUACGUUUUUCCACUUAGAGAGUUUGGUGUCAGCAAAAUCAAAGAAAAUCUCUGAAUAAUUGGCAUUGAUAUAUUCUAUUUUUUUUUUUGUCACUAUGCUAUUUGCAAAAUGAUUGUCAAUGCAGUACAUGAUCUUUUGUCAAAAAACCCUGCAGUUAAAAGUUUCAUUUAUUACACACUGACUGAAGCUUAUACCUAUCUCAGCUGCAUUUAAUGCUACCUUUGUGUUGUUAAUUAAUCUGAAAAGAGUGAAGGCAAUCUCAUUUUUUCCAAAAGACUGUAAAUGGCCUCUUGUAACCGUUUAGCAGAGAAUGACCUCCUACAAGCUCCUUUUGCUGCAUCUGCACAAUGCUGCUGAGAGGGAACUGCUGGUUGCAAAGAGGAAAUACAGCAAAGCUGGACAGUUGUACUGCAGCCCAGAGAGAAGUGCUGUGUAAUGCCAGUAUAACUAGAAAGAUGAAGUCCUCUGCAAACCAACUGUUGAGUGUCAGCAGUUCAUGCUAGCAGAACUUCUGCCAGUAAAACUGCCUUCCUCUCAAACAAGGCCAGCAACAAAAGCACACAGAAAGAUACAGGUUUAUGGGAAUAUCUGUAGGGUGCUGGUGAGGAGGGCAACUGGGCUCUCUCCUUGACUCUUACACUGCUGUCCCUGUACAAACAGCUCCAAGGACGCCUGCCCACCAGGGUCCUGAUGCCAUGUGCCUGGCCACUGCUGGGCUUGUUUGAACCAGAAAGUUUUACUGGCAGAAGUUCUGCUGGCAUGUGCUGUAGCCAUUGCUGUGUUGGCAGGAUGCGCCACAUUUGGCUGUUUUUAAAGAUGCAAGAUGUCCUCAGAACAUCAGGCUUUUAUCAGCAGAGGAUGACAGCAUUAUGGAAUGCUAACCCAGAUUACCUUGUGCAAUGUUUGGUAGGUUGCCUUCUGGUAAUUACUUGCAGCAUAUUGUGGAGCUGCUGUUGUAUAUUGUGAGAUACCAUCAGUUCCAUCAUAAAAUCUGUGUAAAUAUUGGGUCAGAUUUUCAAAAAUUUUUCGAUCUUGUGCAAUUGCCUAUUUUUACAUGUGCUGUUUUCCCAUAUUGCAGAUUUCUCAUUGCCAGAACCCCAGAUUGUAUCAAACAGCAUCACUCUCUUGUUCAUUUAGGGCAGAUGUAAGCAUUCUUUCUUAUCUAAAGAGCAGCCUAAAGUAUUGGGUACUGGGGACAAGUGGAACAUAGAGACAGUGAAUAGAAGCUGUUUGCAGUAAGUGUUUGCUAAACUACUUUACAAGAACAACUUGUAGUUUUGAUCCAUACUGUGAGCACUGGAAGAGAGAAACAUUCAGUGUUGGAUGUUAAACCCAUGCCAACAUAUCCACUCUGAUUUAGGAGCUGCUUAAUGAGGAGACAGGAGAACUAGGUGGUGCCAACUUUUUGGAAAGCUGUGCUGAUGUGGGCAUUUUGGCAUUACUUGGGGAGCUAUCUCCAGUGAGGUACAUAAAGUUAAGUUUUUCCUGCUGCACACUCUUUUUAUGCUGGGUGACAUACUGAAAAUAAGAGAUGAACCUGAUGCAAUGGACUUUGCUAGCUGUGGGGGAACAGUAAAUAAGGUUUAUAUCCAAUUCUGUCCUAUCUUGUUUUGAAUACAUAAAAUGAAAGCAGUGCUUCUCCAUGGUGAUCUCUCUAGACAGUAUUUUACAUCAGUGUUGCUUGGGAGAAAGUCCAUGCUUGCCUCCCCAUCUAUCCUGUUGUUAUUAAUGAUGUUACAUAGCCAACUCUGGCAACAGAGACAAGGCAGGUUUGGCAAACUGUAGGUAAAAAAAACAAAACAUUGUAACAGGAAAAAAUAACAGAAUUAUCCACCAAGUCACAAAACUCUGUAAUUUUGUAGUCUCCUGCAACAAAGAAACAAACAAACAAAAAAACACAUAGGGUUUCACAGGGUUCCUUCAUUUGCUGAGUGUAAUUUUGUCCUUUCCAAAUUCAGUGCAAAGUCAGUUAUAGGGUUUUGGGUUUUCCCAUGAUGCUUCCAGGUAUUACAGACACGUGCAUUGCAUAAGUAGCCCUUGUAUACAUAGAAUAUAUAGAUGGCUGGAAGAUUCCUAGAGCUUAGAGACCACAGGUAUGUGUGGAACCUGCAGAUCUGCAUAGAAAGCCACACAUGUAACCAGAGUACCUGCACAAUGACCCUGACAUGGUAUGGACAUAUAGCACCUGUGGUUUGCAGGCAGGCAGCAUACAUUCAGUAAGUGCAGUGUGUUCUGGACACAUCCAUUUUAUCACACGUUCACAGAUACUCUGCUUAACACAUGCACAGAAGAUCUGGCAUGUCUGUGUAUGUGCUGGGCAGCACAUGGACUGAUAAUUCUGUGUUAGAUUUCAUGGCUAUAAUUCAGAAAGUCCAAGCUGAACUAUUUAUUGAAAACAUAUACUCAUUUGGAACUGCUGUUCCUAAAAAUCAUCUGAAGCAACUUGAGUUUGUUCCAAUGAUACUACAUUUUACUGGUUUAAAGUAAGUGUGUUCUGUAAAUGAUGAAAGUGCUCACUCAUUGAUUUGCAAAUGCCGUCUUUGUGAUCUGUGAAAGUCCUGGUUUUGACUUCUUGGACUUUCACCCGAUACUGACAUUUCAAUAUUCUUAAAAUACAUUUCCCCUUUCCUCCCACCAGCAGCUGAUAGAUACAAUGUGAUAGGAGAAUGUGUUAGGAGGAAAGGCAAGGAAUGCUUAUUUAUAAACUUUUGACAAAGUAAACCCCAUCACUAUGUUAAUGGACCAGCCAUAUCACAGUGAAUACCCUUCCUGAAUCAGCUACCUGUUUGGGGAGCUUCCUAAGGGGUUCUGUAUCUCAUUAGUUUUUACUCUAGCUAUGCCUUCUCCCCAGAAACCCAUUCAAUUUAUCCUUUUCUUAGUAUCCUUCACCAUGGACAUAUGUCAAUGAUGAGAGCAGUAUCCCAACUAUUAUGCCGUCUAAUGAAUGCACAAUCAUAGUGAGGAGUGCAUGACAAGCUGGUCAUAAAAGGAACACCUUGGGGGAGUAAGCUUAGGGAAUUUAUUGCAGGAAGAGAAACUGCCUUUUAUUCUUCUUCACCUGACACUAGUUCUUAUCUCUACUUUUAGGUUUUCUGUUGGUGGUGGCUUCCACUACCUUACCAUUUCCCUUCUUUCUGCAAAGAUGAAAUCCCGCUGAGCCUUCUCUCCUCUAGGCUGGAUACUCCCAGCUCUCAACCUUUCCUCAUAGGAAAGAUGCUCCAGUCCCUUAAUCACAUUAGUGGUCCUUUGCUAUAUGUAUGUCUAUAUGUCCAAGUCCAGUAUGUCCAUGCCUUUCCUAUACUGGGGAGCCCAUGACUGGACCUAGUACUCCAAGUGAAGCCUCACCAGUACCCAGCACAGGAGAAAAAUCACCUCCCUCAACUUACUGGCAACACUCUUCCUAAUGCAGCCCAGGAGGCUGUUGCCCUUCUUUGUGGCAAGGGCAUAAUGCUAGCUCAUGUUCAAAUUGGUGCCAUCAGAAUCCCCACGGUUUUUUCUGCCAAGUUGCUAUCCAGCCAGUAGGCCCCCAGCAUGCUGUGGUCCCCCUGUGUGGGACUUUAUAUUUUCCUUUUUUG